RNAcentral lists this long non-coding RNA (557 nucleotides) under Malus domestica (apple). RNAcentral describes it as "long non-coding RNA (MDOM_LNC004477)". Lineage: Eukaryota; Viridiplantae; Streptophyta; Magnoliopsida; Rosales; Rosaceae. The record is from RNAcentral.
UCCAGCAACCUACCCCUCUUUGCCGCAGCCACCACCCAUUCCAUCAACCUUUCCCACCUUUUGCCGCAGCUUCCAUCAAUUCCAGCACCAUUCCACACAUCCAUACAUCAUUCUCCACCUCCAUAAACCAUUCCCACACCUUGCCGCACCACCAUACUAUCCUAUCUACCUUUCAAAAACCCAAAAACACAUCCAGAAAACUCCAUUCACGCCAGAACCUGUCCCUCACCUUUGCCGAGCCCAACCUUCACCCAACUCCAUAUUUUCUGACCCCAAACCUUCCUAGCCGUGCCCUAAACCCAGCCUAGACAUUUUUCCACCAUUCUUCCUCGUCCAAAAUCAUCCAAAACUACCCAAAAAUCCCCUAAACCCUCUCUGCCGCAGCAAGGAGAAGAAGAAAGAGGAGCUUGCUGUGCAGAAUUCAAAGUGGAAUUCUUUGGCUUUUUAGGUGUAAUCUUUCUUAUGUCUUCGAUGUUUAAAUUUAAUAAACUUUGUGUUGUGAGUAUGAGGAACUAAACCCCCUUAGUUGGGGGGUGAUUCGAAACCAUGUACAUGCU